This 1542-nucleotide ribosomal RNA is filed under the name Triticum aestivum (bread wheat). RNAcentral describes it as "partial small subunit ribosomal RNA". Lineage: Eukaryota; Viridiplantae; Streptophyta; Magnoliopsida; Poales; Poaceae. The record is from RNAcentral.
CUCGCACACUCUCGAGAUUCUCCUCCCUCCCGAAUGCUUCUCCUCCUGUAUAUAAGCGUCCCCAUUCACCCACCUCCUCCCUCCAGUUCACAUCCACCUCAUACUUUCUCUUGCAACAAGUCAGUAAAAGAUUCCGUUUGUAGAGCGAGCGAGAGCUCCGGUGUAAAAUCGAUGGGUCUGGACGUAGGAGAGAUCGGCAUGGGCGCAGAUUUGAGCCUGGAUUUGAAGAUGUUCGCGGCCAAGAGCCUGGGGCGGGUCAGGGAAGCGCCGGCGGCUGCCAUGGACGACUGUAUCCGGAGGCUGGAGGAGGAGAAGAGCAAGAUCGAGGUGUUCCGGCGCGAGCUCCCGCUCUGCGCGCGCCUCCUCGCCGACGUGAUUGAUGUGAUGAAGAAGGAGGUGGAGGAGAAGAAGAGAGGCGGCGAUCGAGGAGAGGACAAGGAGGACGCCGGCGCAGGCGACAAGAGCAACUGGAUGAGCACCGCGCAGCUCUGGACCGGCGAUUCCGUCCGGGGGGACGAUGCUUCCGAGGAUGCGAGGAGGAGGUCGUCGGAGCCGGAAUCUCACGACGGCGCUGCCUUGCCGUUCAAGGCCGUGGGCUCCGGCGCGCCGGCGUUCGCGCCGCCGAGUUUGAGGAAGGAUGACAAGGCUGUGCGGAUGCCGGAUCUGCCGUUUCUGUCCCCGGCACCGACCAAGACCUCCCCGGCUGCUGCUACCGGCGGCGCUGAAGAAAGCCGCCGCCAGCUUGUGGGAUUCGCGCAAGAAGCGGCGAGGGCUGCAGCCGCCCUGGCACCGGCCGCCCCUUCCCUAGGCCUCCAGGCGCAGUCGCAGCAGACAGCCCAGCAGCAGCAGCAAGCGAGGAAGGCGCGGCGGUGCUGGUCGCCGGAGCUGCACCGCCAGUUCGUCACUGCCCUGCACCAACUCGGUGGUCCCCAAGUUGCUACUCCAAAGCAAAUCAGGGAGCUGAUGAAGGUGGAUGGCCUGACCAAUGAUGAAGUGAAGAGCCAUCUCCAGAAAUACCGUCUACACAACCGAAGGGCGCCAGGAUCUCCGGCAGCCAACCGGCCGAUCGUGCUCAUGGGAGGGCUCUGGAUAACUCAGGACCAAAGCAGCUCCCAGUCAGGAGGGUCACCUCCGGGGCCCCUUCACUUCUCAAGCUCAGGCGUAGCUGCCUCAUCGGUGACGGUCAGCGGCGAGGAGGAAGAUGGCAGAUCCGAGAGCUAUGGCUGGAAAUGAUCAACAAGUUAUAUUAGAGUUUGUUCGGAGUUUCCGGGUCGCGCGAUGACAGUGGUAUCUUGAGAGAUUCCUGAGACAUGAUUGUAGUGUAGUCUUUUUUGUUGUAUGCAGGGAGAUCAAGCCUUGAGUGCUUUGAGAUGAAACUCUUGCUGUUAUUAUGUAAGUACAUCGGGAAGAGGUUAUACUAGUUACAGUUUUGCGGAUAUGUUACUCUAAAAAGGUUGGGGCAGAGCUACAAUUUUCGCCCAGAGAAUUUACUACCAAUGUUCAGUGUCAGACUUUUCUCUUGAUAAGCAAUUUUCCGUUUCG